GCCUCGGUAGCUCAGCUCGGUAGAGCGGCGGCCUUGUAAGCCGUUGGUCGCGGGUUCAAAUCCCGCCCGAGGCUCCA
Molecule: transfer RNA, 77 nt
Filed under: Candidatus Bathyarchaeota archaeon
Lineage: Archaea; Thermoproteati; Candidatus Bathyarchaeota
Also listed under: 4 other names
Description: tRNA-Thr
Rfam family: tRNA
About the family: Transfer RNA (tRNA) molecules are approximately 80 nucleotides in length.
Source: RNAcentral